GAAAAUCAAAAACCCUUUUUUUUCAACAACUCAUUUUUUUAAAAAAAAAAUACUAUUCCACCCAUUUUCAUUUUUAUAAAAUAGGGGCCAAACGGGGGCUAAAUGUUCAUUUUCUACCUACCAAAACGUUUUGAAUAUGGUAUAAAAUAAUUUGAUUGAGGAAAUAUUAAAAACAACCCUUCAAUUUCUAACAAAUGGAGAGACACUCCUAAUCCUAUUUGUUUGUUUUGUUGUUGGGUCAAUUUGAGCAAGAAUUACUUCGAAUCAGGUUUAAAAAUUAUAAUAAACCUUUUUUUCAAGUUCUAAUACGUUGUAUUAGAUGACUACAAAAAUAUAAUUUCAGUUUGUAAAUUUUGUUUAUUUUUUCUCGUCCAGCAUUUGAAGUGUUGUCACUUGAAUAGUUCGGAAAUCGGAAUCUAAUAUUUGAUGAUUUAAGUGAAUAGUUCUAUCAAAUGUCCAUGUAAGAGCCCUAUUAUUUUAUUAUGUUUCAGGAAAAGUAAAAUUUGCUGCAUUUAACCAGAGAGUUAGAUUUGGUAAAAAAAUAUAAAGAAAGUGGGGUUCAUGUAUAUUAUUUCACCAUUCAACAACCAGGAAGAAGUUGGCUUUUUUGGCAAAGUCUUUUAGGCCAUCGAACUCUAUAAAUUCGCCGCAGUGUUGCUUCAAUUUUCCUUCCCUUUCCUCUUCUCUUCCUCCGUUUUUGGGUCUGUCUUAGGGUUUGUUUAAACCUGAGAAAGAUUUUUCUUUUUGUCUCUUCAUUUUAUAAUUAUUUUCCAUUAUUUUUACCCAUUUUCUUUCCUUUUUCUGAUGGAAAUUCUUUGAAUGUACAAAGGACCCUUUUGUCAGAUGUGAAUCCCAUAUUAAGUGUUUUAGAAGAUAAUCAGGUAUGAAUUUUAGCUUUUACUUUUGUUAUUUUCUUCACUGCAUAGACUAGAAAAAUACCUUGCAGUGCUAUUGAAAUUAAGCUAAAAAGCAUUCUUUUUUACACACUUCUCUGAAGAUCUGUACAUCAAUAAUUGCUGAAUCUUCUGUUUUUUCAUGUCAAAACAUGCAAAUUUUGCGACUAUAUGGACAAUUCCCUUGUGGGUUUUCUUCAAUAUUAUAAAUUUUCAUGCGCAUAUUUCUGAAUUUUCUGUGAUGUUAUACAUAUAACCAUAUGUUUGUGUGGACUUUCUUGAAUUUGAUGAUAACAUUAUUUAGUACUGAUUUGUCGGUUAAUUGUGAGUGCAUGAUUUUUUCGGUUUCUGUUUAGAUGUUGAAAAGUUGUGUGUCUUAAUAGUUUUUUCGUAGAUUGCCACGAAAAAUAGAAAUAGAUUGUUGUUUGUUAUGUGGUCAUCAAAACCUUUAGCACCCUUUUUUGUGGUUGUUCUCAAGUCAAACGGGUUUUCAAGAUUCAUGGGGCCAGAUUCAUAUUUUCAAUCAACAAGAUUUUAUGUUGGUAGGAGAGCUUUUCUGGGCCCAUUCUAUUUUGGCACGUCGGGUUGGUGGGUGGGGACAGCCCGAGGGUCCGGUUGGUGGGUUGGGGAAGGCUGUAAUGAAAUCGAAGGGCUGUUUCGCCCACCUAAAUUUUCAGCUGAUUUUUCAAUAAUUUCUAUGGAUUUAGAGUAUACAGUAUUAUGUAUAAAGUUUUUCGGAUGGUCUUUGUGUCUCUGAAUCUUGGUCUCUUCCUUUUUCUGAUUUCCACAAAAUCUAAUAUCGACCUUAAGUUAAAUUUGCACAAAGUUGUGCAUCCUUUUUUAGUUGCUAAUGAUGCAAAGCUCUUAUUUCUUAAAGAUAGCUAGGGAAUUUUGUAGGUGACUUCUAUAAGGAUCAAUGUUGAUGUACAGGGGAGAGGUUUACGGAACUCUCCAGAAUACAUAUAUGGGUGGGCUCCAUAUGAAUAAAAUAUUGUAAAAAAAUAAAAAUAAAAAUACUAUCCAUCCGCCAUUGUGAGCAUUCUAGAAGGGUUCUGUGAACCUCUCCCCUGUACCCCAAGCAAAACCCCUUCUAUAAAUGUCUCUCUCUUUCUCUGUGAUGGUGACCAUCAAAUCAAAUAGUUGUUAGUACUUAGUAGUUGCCGAGUCGGACCCUUAACAUAAAACAAUAUGGAAGGAAUUGAAUUUGGUGCAUUUAUGUAUCUUUUGUUUUCCCAAGAUUUGAAUUUCAGGCUGCAAUGAGUUAUUACUGAUCCACAGGAGACUGUGUUAUUGCUUUAAGACAUCUAGGCAUGUUAAGCACGUUGUACUCAAUAUGAUGCACUUGAUUUGAUCGCAUAAUGGGCUUUUNNNN
This 2265-nucleotide long non-coding RNA is filed under the name Olea europaea (common olive). RNAcentral's name for it is "long non-coding RNA (OEUR_LNC012144)". The record is from RNAcentral. Lineage: Eukaryota; Viridiplantae; Streptophyta; Magnoliopsida; Lamiales; Oleaceae.